UACGGGGGGGGCAAGCGUUGUUCGGAAUUACUGGGCGUAAGGGGCUCGUAGGCGGCCAACUAAGUCAGACGUGAAAUCCCUCGGCUUAACCGGGGAACUGCGUCUGAUACUGGAUGGCUUGAGGUUGGGAGAGGGAUGCGGAAUUCCAGGUGUAGCGGUGAAAUGCGUAGAUAUCUGGAGGAACACCGGUGGCGAAGGCGGCAUCCUGGACCAAUUCUGACGCUGAGGAGCGAAAGCCAGGGGAGCAAACGGG
RNAcentral lists this ribosomal RNA (253 nucleotides) under uncultured bacterium. Its description in RNAcentral is "partial 16S ribosomal RNA". It matches the Rfam family "Bacterial small subunit ribosomal RNA", at positions 524 to 776 of the family's 1533-position model. The record is from RNAcentral.